RNAcentral lists this ribosomal RNA (254 nucleotides) under uncultured bacterium. RNAcentral describes it as "partial 16S ribosomal RNA". It matches the Rfam family "Bacterial small subunit ribosomal RNA", at positions 524 to 776 of the family's 1533-position model. The record is from RNAcentral.
UACGUAGGGUGCGAGCGUUGUCCGGAAUUAUUGGGCGUAAAGAGCUCGUAGGCGGCUUGUCGCGUCAACUGUGAAAACCCGUGGCUCAACCAUGUGGUCUGCAGUCGAUACGGGCAGGCUAGAAUUCGGUAGGGGAGACUGGAAUUCCUGGUGUAGCGGUGAAAUGCGCAGAUAUCAGGAGGAACACCGGUGGCGAAGGCGGGUCUCUGGGCCGAUAUUGACGCUGAGGAGCGAAAGCGUGGGGAGCGAACAGG